GAUGAACGCUGGCGGCGUGCCUAAUACAUGCAAGUCGAGCGAACAGAUAAGGAGCUUGCUCCUUUGACGUUAGCGGCGGACGGGGGAGUAACACGUGGGUAACCUACCUAUAAGACUGGAAUAACUCCGGGAAACCGGGGCUAAUGCCGGAUAACAUUUAGAACCGCAUGGUUCUAAAGUGAAAGAUGGUUUUGCUAUCACUUAUAGAUGGACCCGCGCCGUAUUAGCUAGUUGGUAAGGUAACGGCUUACCAAGGCAACGAUACGUAGCCGACCUGAGAGAGUGAUCGCCCACACUGGAACUGAGACACGGUCAAGCCUCCUACGGGAGGCAGAAGUAGGAAACCUUCGGCAAUGGGCGAAAGCCUGACGGAGCAACGCGGCGUGAGUGAUACAGGUCUUCGGAUCGUAAACCUCUGUUAUUAGGGAAAAACAAAUGUGUAAGUAAAUGUGCACGUCUUGACGGUACCUAAUCAGAAAGCCACGGCUAACUACGUG
This 497-nucleotide ribosomal RNA is filed under the name uncultured bacterium. RNAcentral describes it as "partial 16S ribosomal RNA". It matches the Rfam family "Bacterial small subunit ribosomal RNA", at positions 28 to 507 of the family's 1533-position model. The record is from RNAcentral.